This 253-nucleotide ribosomal RNA is filed under the name uncultured bacterium. Its description in RNAcentral is "partial 16S ribosomal RNA". It matches the Rfam family "Bacterial small subunit ribosomal RNA", at positions 524 to 776 of the family's 1533-position model. The record is from RNAcentral.
UACGGAGGGGUGCAACGUUGCUCGGAAUCACUGGGCGUAAAGGGUGCGUAGGCGGGUCUUUAAGUCAGGGGUGAAAUCCUGGAGCUCAACUCCAGAACUGCCUUUGAUACUGAGGAUCUUGAGUUCGGGAGAGGUGAGUGGAACUGCGAGUGUAGAGGUGAAAUUCGUAGAUAUUCGCAAGAACACCAGUGGCGAAGGCGGCUCACUGGCCCGAUACUGACGCUGAGGCACGAAAGCGUGGGGAGCAAACAGG